GCACCUGUCUCAGCUUCCAGAUCCAGACUCACAGCCACGCUGCCAAUUCCUGUCUGUGCAAAACAGGACACAGAGCCAUUGAGGAAACAGCCCUGCAGGGCCAGGAGAGAAGCACCAGGCUCUGGAUAAACACUCCGGGUGCCUGCUCCUCGGCACCGAGAUGAGGCCGCAGAGAUGAGGGGCAGCGGCCCCUUUUCUGAUCCUGUCAUCACUGCUGUUUAACAAGUGCACAGAAGACAAGUGCCCGCUAUUUGCCUUGUGCCUGUUGUUAGCAGAGGCAGGUCACCUCUAUGAGAGCAGAAGUCUAGGGAAGGAAGGACCCUGGAGGGGCCCCGGGACUUUCUCUUGCUGCACCCUUGUUAUUUCGCUCUUGGAGCUCAGGUAAAACUUUCCUGACUGAUGCCAGAGCCUCUGGGCCCAGUGCCAAGCCCGUCAGGUCUGGGGAACUUUAGGUGGAGGGACGCAGGGCUCCAGCCCCUCCGUCAGUCCUGCGGGCUCCGCAGUGAGGGGACAGUUGUCUGGAGGCCUCCAGAUGAGCCUGCUGGGCCCCUGUGGGGCAGGACAGCCCCGGGCUCAACACCAGGGUCGUCUGGGGACAGAUCCAGACCAGUGCUCCUUGGGCCCCUCCCUGCUGGAGUUGGCUUAGACUGGUUCGAGCCGGCCCAAGUCAGACCCUCUAACCUGGCAACGCGUCGUCAUGGCAACCUCAAACCGGAGGCUGCCCAUCGGCCGGGCCUGAUCUGAGUGAGGUAGGAGGGCCCUGGGCUGCGGAGUCAGGGACUGAGGCAGCCUUGUGGGUGCAGACAAGUGUGAGGCCACGCACGGUGUUGGGAGGCCAGGGGGGACUCGCAGGGCCCCAGAGUCCAGCCAGGAGCCCAGUGGGCUCCAGCAGAGAGCCUCCUGGGGAGAGGAGGCUCCCGCCUGGCUUCUGGCCAGGUUCCCCCUCCGCACCUGCGUUAACAGCCUGGCAGAAGCCAGUCCUGGACUCACUGUCCCAGGGGCCCGGCCAGGGUCUGAGCCAAGGGCGCACGUGCACCUUGGCACCGUGAGGGCAACUUCCCGGCUUCCCAGGGAGGUCCACCCUGGCGGCGAGAGCCGCCCCAGGGGCUCAGGGAGCAGAGCAGGACGCGCACCGUCUCGGCCGCCCACGCCUGGGCUUUACGGGGGAGGAGGGGGGACUCCACCUUGGCUCUGGGGAUUGUCGCCACCUGCCACUUGCAGGCCACUGAGUGUCCCGUGCUGGAGGCCUAGGCGGAAGGUGGCGUCAGCAGCCCCUGGGCAGGUGGCACUGAGCAGAUGGGGCAGGAAAAGAACAGGCAGCAGUUAGUGGAAAUGUUUUAAUUAGAGGAUGUUUAGAUACAGUGGUUCAUCUAAGGCCCACAAUUCCUCACUACCCGACGCCCCAGGCCGAGGGCACCCCCUUCCCUCACGGCAGAAGUAGCAUGACCACAGCUCAUUUCUCGGGUUACAAGAGUCACACCUUUGCUAAGCCAAGGCCUGUGGCACAAAAGGACAUUUCAUUAACUGAAGUCACACGACAAUGUGCUAGAAACAUUGGUUACUUUAGAAUGCUUUAACUAGAAAAUAUAUUGAAUUUCCAUAUAUAUUAACCAUAUACACGUGUAACUAUGACUAAGAGCAGCUCAGUUGUCACAAAAUAAGACGUCCUGGGAGAGGCUACCCAAACACCAGCCGCCGGACGCCCCUAAGGCCAAACGCAUCACAGACCUCCAGCCGCGAGCUCAGUGACUCGACCAGUCCCCGCUCCGUGAGCCAGCAAGGUGCUGGGGCCCCAGAGCCUUGGGGCCCUCGGGCUCGCUCCCAGCUUUCCUUGUGACCCUGCCGCCGCCAGGCGCUCCUCAUCAGGGCCCAGAUGACCAGUCCUUGAGCCCCCGUGGGGAUCACCCCACCCCGCCACAUGGGGGCUGAAGCCACGGGUGCAGGGCUCCGAGGGUCCUCAGGGUGGGAGUGGGAGGCCAGCUGGGGCAGACGGGCUCCGGGCCUCCAGUCCAGGCAGAGAGGCUGGGCCCCAUCUCAGCAGGGACAGACGCAGGGCACCAGCCCAGCCCUCUCUGCCACCUCCCGCUGAGCCAGGACCCUGGGCAGCAGGCUCAGGUUCCGCGGUGUCUUCUGAGAGCGCCACUCGGGCGGACCAAGUCCAGAUGCUUCUAGAGCGUAAGGGGGUGUCGUCCUGCUGCCAGGACUGCCUGCGCCCGGCGGGGACGCUGAUGCGCGAGCAAGGUGGGGCACGGCACUAAGCAGAGGCUCUGUCGCUGCUGGACAGGAGGCCACGAGCCCCCACAGGCUGGGCUCCAUCGCUGGGGCAGCCACCAAGGGAGCGAGCUGCUUGUGCGGCAGUCCUCCCUGGCGUGCAGGCUGCGGGAGGGUCUCGCCGCCAGUUCCAACCUGACCAGACCUGGACGCUCCGGCGGGUGCUCCGCCGCCAGGAGCCACAUGGGAAGGGGGUACCCAGGACUAUUUACAGAGGGCGGGGCCGAGCCUGGGGCGCUGGGCACACUGAGGCCACCUCCUUACUCUUAAUGAUGAUAAUGCCACAAAAACCUUUAUAUAAACAGUUUAUUUACUCUAAACAGCAACACAGACAAACGCCAUAUAAACACAAAGGAAGUGAUGCGGAGACGCGACGCUGGCUGACUGGAUCCGAGGCUCGUAAG
Molecule: long non-coding RNA, 2675 nt
Organism: Sus scrofa (pig)
Lineage: Eukaryota; Metazoa; Chordata; Mammalia; Artiodactyla; Suidae
Source: RefSeq, a predicted model, not a curated record